Brassica oleracea var. oleracea is the source of this 593-nucleotide long non-coding RNA. RefSeq lists it as uncharacterized. The record is from RefSeq and is a predicted model, not a curated record. NCBI's taxonomy places the organism in Eukaryota, Viridiplantae, Streptophyta, Magnoliopsida, Brassicales, Brassicaceae. The transcript has 3 exons.
UGAAAAAAAAAAACUCAAAUUGUUUCUCUCGACGACGGGGGAUCUUUAUAUUCAAAAUCGACGACGACGAUGCCGGAGACAGCAGUGUAAUCGCCGUGAAUCUCACCAUUAACAGUCAUCACACUCGAUUGUAAGCUCUAGCCGAGAAUCUCCGGUGGUUUCUUCCGAUCGAAUUAUGUUAUUUCCUCCGUCUAAACACCACACUUCUCCUAUUCGUUCACUGUCGCUUCUGCCAUUGUUCUUCAUCUCUGUUUUCGUCUCGUUUCUCUAAAUUUCCGAUCGGAUUCAGAGACAUUGGGAGACGCCGAAGGUGUAAGUAGCCAAAGCUCUUUCCUCACUGCACAUGGAGUUACUAAAGAUUCUCGACUCCAGAUCCAACAUUCUCCAGAAACGGCUGUGAAAUCCUUUGCUGCACUAGACAUAAGGAGCAGUGAGAUCUUUAACAAGUUUAUGGAUAAAAUAUUUAAGGAAAGAGAAAGAUAAAUAUUUGUAAUAAUUUAUGGUUAUGUAAGACUCUAUGUUUUGAAUUUUUUUUGUUAUGAACGUUGACUUAGACAAAUACUAAAAUGUUUCUAAGAAGACUGUAAUGAAUG